RNAcentral lists this small RNA (169 nucleotides) under Marmota monax (woodchuck). The record is from RNAcentral. Lineage: Eukaryota; Metazoa; Chordata; Mammalia; Rodentia; Sciuridae.
UAGCAAUGUUAAUAAUAGGAGAAAUUUGGUGUACAGUGUGUGCAAGCUCUACAAUACUUUCAUUUUUUUUGCAAAUGUCAAACUGUGUGUGUGUGUGUGUGUGUGUGUGUGUGUGGUGCUGGGGAUUGAACCCAGGGCCUUGUGUGUGCAAGGCAAGCACUCUAGCUAA